AAACCAAUUUAAUUUGACGGCAAUUAAUCUAAUUAGAGGAAUCCGUCCUUUAAUCGACAACCCACGUUAAAUUUCACUUUAAUCUCAAAUUUAUAUACCGCCAUCUUAAGAAUUAAUUCAAAAAUAUUUCUCUCAAAAAUAAAUAAAAAGUUAGGUCAAGGUGUAAUUAACAUUAAAGAAUGAGAUGAAUUACAAUAAAUAGAAUUUAAAGAUCAUCAAUAAAUAUAUUCAUUCAAAUAAGAAUUUAAAAGUAAUAUUCAAAUAAUAAUACAAUAUGAUAUAGAUAACAAAUGUGUACACAUCGCCC
Molecule: ribosomal RNA, 307 nt
Filed under: Draconarius sp. ZZ463
Lineage: Eukaryota; Metazoa; Arthropoda; Arachnida; Araneae; Agelenidae
Description: partial 12S ribosomal RNA
Source: RNAcentral